UUGUAAAUCCUAGUGAAAUCACCCACUUCACAAUCACACAAAACUGUGAUUCUUUCAAACACAUAGCUGAGUCAAAGCAGCCACAUAAAAGAGUGUGUAGGUAUAAUUCUGUUUACAUAAAGUCCCCAAAGAGGCAAAGGAAAUCUCUGUUGGAAAUCAGGGUGAUGGUUUUCCCUGGAAUUUGAGGGGACAGGCAGUGAAACUAGAGAGAGGAGGAGGAGGUUCUGGGGGACUGGUCCCUGGGUAUGUGUUCAUUUUUGAGAUGCACUUAAUUAUAUGUGCGCUUUUCUAUAUUUAAAUUAACUUUAAUAAAACAACUUAAAAAUAUAUAGUCACUAAAUGCUACCCCCAGAGAUUCUGAUAUAACUGUUUGGAAACAGGACUCAAGCAUCUCUUUUUUUUUUUCCCCUAUAAAGACUUGCAGGUGAUUUUUUAGUUGUAGAUGGUCAUAAUACCUUUAUUUUAUUUAUUUAUUUUUAUGCUGUGUUGAGGAUCGACCCCAUUGCCUCACAUGUGCUAGGCAAGUGCUCUACCACUGAGCUACAACCCCAGGCCCUUUGCUGGUGAUUCUACUGUGAAUCUAGCCAGCUCCACAUUAGUGCUAACAGGAGAGUGGGUGGCUUUUCUCUGUGAGGAAGGAGGUGAGCUGUGUGUGCUGAGUGGGAGGUAAGGAAGGAAUGAGGGGACCUGGGGAGCAUUUAGACCACCCUAGAGGGAGGAACCCCAAAUCUAGGCAGCUGAACCUCAGCUUUCGAAGCUCUAUUCUUGUGUCUGGAUGGCUGCUUCCAUUGUUUGUGGGUUUGUAAUCUCAGGGGUCGG
RNAcentral lists this long non-coding RNA (819 nucleotides) under Marmota monax (woodchuck). Lineage: Eukaryota; Metazoa; Chordata; Mammalia; Rodentia; Sciuridae. The record is from RNAcentral.